Molecule: transfer RNA, 67 nt
Filed under: Argas walkerae
Lineage: Eukaryota; Metazoa; Arthropoda; Arachnida; Ixodida; Argasidae
Description: tRNA-Trp
Source: RNAcentral
UAAGACUUUAAGUUAAAAAAACUAAAUACCUUCAAAGUAUAAAUUAUUAUCUAAUAAUAAGUCUUAG